This 817-nucleotide ribosomal RNA is filed under the name uncultured bacterium. RNAcentral's name for it is "bacterial SSU rRNA". It matches the Rfam family "Bacterial small subunit ribosomal RNA", at positions 32 to 816 of the family's 1533-position model. The record is from RNAcentral.
AACGCUGGCGGCGUGCUUAACACAUGCAAGUCGAACGGGAUGAAGAGAGAAGCUUGCUUCAUCCUUCAUUUAGUGGCAAACGGGUGAGUAACACGUAAACAACCUGCCUUCAGGAUGGGGACAACAGACGGAAACGACUGCUAAUACCGAAUACGCUCCAAGAGCCGCAUGGUUUUUGGAGGAAAGGGUGGCCUCUAUUUAUAAGCUAUCGCCUGAAGAGGGGUUUGCGACUGAUUAGGCAGUUGGUGAGGUAACGGCCCACCAAACCGACGAUCAGUAGCCGGUCUGAGAGGAUGAACGGCCACACUGGAACUGAGACACGGUCCAGACUCCUACGGGAGGCAGCAGUGGGGAAUCUUCCGCAAUGGACGAAAGUCUGACGGAGCAACGCCGCGUGAGUGAAGACGGCCUUCGGGUUGUAAAGCUCUGUGAUCCGGGACGAAAGGGUUGUGUGCUAAUAUCACAUAACACUGACGGUACCGGAAAAGCAAGCCACGGCUGACUACGUGCCAGCAGCCGCGGUAAUACGUAGGUGGCAAGCGUUGUCCGGAAUUAUUGGGCGUAAAGCGCGCGCAGGCGGCCCCUUAAGUCCCUCUUAAAAGAGCGGGGCUUAACCCCGUUAUGGGAAGGAAACUGGGGGGCUGGAGUGUCGGAGAGGAAAGUGGAAUUCCUAGUGUAGCGGUGAAAUGCGUAGAGAUUAGGAAGAACACCGGUGGCGAAGGCGACUUUCUGGACGACAACUGACGCUGAGGCGCGAAAGCGUGGGGAGCAAACAGGAUUAGAUACCCUGGUAGUCCACGCCGUAAACGAUGGAUAC